AUACUACUCCCUCCGUCCCAUAUUAAGUGUCUUUCUAUUACAUGUAUCUAGAUGCUUUUUAGGGAUAGAUACAUUCAUAUUUGGACAAAUUUGAGUCACUUAAUAUGGGACGGAGGGAGUAUAUU
This is a non-coding RNA of Brachypodium distachyon (stiff brome), 125 nucleotides long. Lineage: Eukaryota; Viridiplantae; Streptophyta; Magnoliopsida; Poales; Poaceae. The record is from Rfam.